Stegostoma tigrinum is the source of this 3081-nucleotide RNA transcript. It is a transcript of the gene named gastrula zinc finger protein XlCGF71.1-like, with no coding region annotated. The transcript is spliced from 4 exons. Lineage: Eukaryota; Metazoa; Chordata; Chondrichthyes; Orectolobiformes; Stegostomatidae. The record is from RefSeq and is a predicted model, not a curated record.
UGAGGGGCAACCGGCUGCCUGCACGGACAUCGUGGGUACAUUACUACGGUCAAUGUCUUGUUCUUGCACCAAGUCUGUGAGGGUCUCCAAUAACGAACCUGACAUUUGGUGCAAUGAGCAGGGUUCCAACGUGUACAGCAGUCUUACAUGGAGGCCUGAAUAAGUGAUCGUGUGAGUGUUGGUGGAGUGAGAUGCACGGGCCCGCAAGGAUGUAGGAAGUGGAUUCACAGUUAGAAAACACCGACAAAGCAUCACUUCAAAAUCAAUACCAGAUUUGCUCCAAAACCCUAGGAUUUGGUUAUUAUUGACUGUCAUUAUUUUUGUUUCAAAGGAUACCAAAAGGACCGACUUUGUAGUCUGGAGACUGAAACCAAACGUCACAUCGAAAUAUGGCAAAGUUGUUUAAUAUAUCAAAGCUGAACAUCAUCAGAUGUUGAACUGGAAGGAAAAAGCUCUGUUCACAGUGGGAACGAACCGUACAUGUGUGUCGAUGGGGUUUCACCUGAUCAUCUUGCCUAUUGAAACAUGCGCAGUCACACUGGGAGAAUCCGGGGAAAUAUGGAGAUCAUGGGAAGGGAUUUACACCCCUUCAAGGCUGGAAAUGCAUUGUUGCAGUCACACUUGGGAGAAGCCAUUCGCCUGCUCCAAGUGUGGGAAAGGAUUCACUCAGUGAAACCACCUGCCUGAACUUCACUGUGUUCACACUGAGGAGAGAUGUUUUACCUGCUCUGAGUGUGUUAAAUGGUUAAUUCACUUGCCCAGCCUGCUAAAAGACCAGUGAGUUCAUACUCUGGAGAGGCCGUUGACUUGCUUUGAGUGUGGGAAGGGAUUCAAUCUGUCAACCCACCCACUGGAACACCACAAUGUUCCAGUGUUCUGUGGGGUGACAGUUUUUAGCCCCGCUGCCUCCCCGCACAGGGAUCCAGGUUGUAUUCCAGCCGCAGGACAGCAUCUGUGAAGAAUCUGCACGUUCUCCACAUGGCUGCCUGGGAUUCCUCCAGGUGCUCCAGUGUCUUCCCACAGCCCAAAGAUGUGCAGUCUUGGUGGGUUAGCUAUGUUAAAUGUGGAGCUACAGGGAGACAUUGAGUCUGCACUGACUCCCAAAAGAGCAUCUCAAUGUGCCAAUAGGGCUCAGUUUGCACUGUAGGGAGUCUAUGAUUUCAACAUCAUCGUGUCUGCACUGGGAAGAAACCCUUCACCUGCUCUGAUUGUGAAAAAGGAUUCACUCAGUUAUGCUGCUGUCACACCAGCUAGUCCCCACAGUGGAGAGACCAGUUAGCUGUUGAGCUUGGGAAAUUUAUUGUCUCAUUGACCAGCUGAGUCACCAGCAUGUUUACACUGAAGAGAGACCUUUUCGACGUCCAAACUGUGGAAAGUUCUGGAUCUGAUGUGCCAUCAAUGUUUUCACACUAAUGAGAGACCUUUUAGAUGUUUCCACAGCAGGUCUGGGUUCAAGUGAUCAUCUCAACUCCAUGUACACUAGCAAGUUCACACUGGCGAGAACAGUAACCUGUUCCCAGUGUGGGAUUGGGUUCCCUCAGUUAUCCUAUCUUUCAACACAUCAACGACUUGUAAAGUAACAACAGUUAAUUUUUUUGACAAUUGGAGUUGUUUGUGAUUGAUAUAGAAGAGAUAAGAAAUGUCUGUUUUUAAAGUUAAUGAGCCAUUGGGUCUAAAGAAGUUGGAUUGAAGGACACUGAAGGAAGUGAGAGUAGAAAUUUCAGAGGCAAUUGUCAAAUUUUUUCAGCCAUUCCACUUAGCAAAAGUGCAAGAGACCUGGAGAUUUAUAAACAUUGUACGAUGGUUAAAUCAGUUUUAGUGUUGGUGGUUGGUAAACUUAGAAACAAUAAUUUAGGUUAAUAGUCACAUGGACAGUUCCCAGCAAAUUAAGUAUAGCUUACAAAACUUUAAGGAGACUAAUGGAGUUUUUGAAGAAGUAACAGAGAUCGCCCUAUGCUGCUGAUAUGAUGUACGUUGACUUUCAAAUGAUUUCUGAUAGUGUGCCACACAGCAGCCUUGUGAACAAAGUUAGAGCUCAUGGAAUAAAAAAAACGAUAGUAGCAGCAUUGAUUGUAGAAUUGGCUGAUUGGCAGGAAACAGAGAGUAGUCAUUAAUCAAUAUCAUAAAAGCUGGAGGAGAUUUUGUAGUGAAGAUCCUUGGGGGUUACUUUUCGAACAUUUGAUUUUCCUGUUAUACAUUGUCACAAAGGAAUUUUAAAUUACCUUUCCUACAUUCCAGUAACUAGGUUUAGUGACAGCUUGUGACCAAACCAAUAAAGCUGCUUGCGAGAGUAAUGUGACCAGAUUUAGUAGCAACCUGCCAGAAGCUUCUUCUAAAGUCAAUGUCAACUCGAUAAUCAACACUUCAUAAACUGCCUGCUUAGAGUGGAAUGUUCAACUAUCGUGUAAUAAAGUCACAAAUACAGACUGCCUGUUUGAAACUUAACUUAGUUGAAAUGACAGAAUUUUUAAACAUCAGUUUGUUAAGACCUGAAUACUGCUGAUCGUACUGACUAACCGAUGAUAUCAAAACAUUGACUUUGGGCACAAGUGAUGCUUGUGAGCCUAUUUUAAAAAACACGCCCAAACAUGCAUGUAAUUAUCAACUUUAUUUUGUCAAAACCACAAAAUAGAAGUUAUAUUUUUGAGCUAUUCGUCAGACAACGUUUCAAGGAUAUUGACAGAGAAGAAACGGCUUAUGACUCCUGAACUGCUGGAUAGCCAAUCACCCCUGCAAAGUAAUUCUUGGCUGCCAUUUGCAGCUUUGGACUUCGGGACUCCACCUUAACAAGGGCAGGAAUAAACAGUGUGUCUCAAAUGUUUCAGAACAUAAGUGCACUACAUGGAUAAUUUCUUAGUUAUUUUUAAGUAUAGCGGGAUUGUGAGCAAGUCUGUGUUGUGAAUUGAUACAGUGUGGAGUACGUGGACAGUCCUGAUUAAGGAUCUUGACCGGAAACAUCGACUUGCCUACUCCUGUGAUGCUGCCUGUCCUCCUGUGCUCCUCCAGCUCAAAGCUGUGUCGACUCCGCCUCCAGCAUCUGCAGUUUUGCUAUCUCGGUAAUGUGAAUUAGCAGGUCAUCAU